GAUGAACGCUGGCGGCGUGCCUAAUACAUGCAAGUCGAGCGAACGGAUAAGAAGCUUGCUCCUCUGAUGUUAGCGGCGGACGGGUGAGUAACACGUGGAUAACCUACCUAUAAGACUGGGAUAACUUCGGGAAACCGGAGCUAAUACCGGAUAACAUUUUGAACCGCAUGGUUCAAUAGUGAAAGGCGGCCUUGCUGUCACUUAUAGAUGGAUCCGCGCCGAAUUAGCUAGUUGGUAAGGUAACGGCUUACCAAGGCAACGAUACGUAGCCGACCUGAGAGGGUGAUCGGCCACACUGAAACUGAGACACGGCCCAGACUCCUACGGGAGGCAGCAGUGGGAAAUCUCCCGCAAUGGGCGAAAGCCGAACGAGGAAACGCCGCGGAGGUGAUGAGGGUCUCGGGAUGGUAAAACUCGGUAAUCAGGAAAAACAAAAUGGGAAAUAACUGGUGCACACCUGAACGGUACCAAACCAGAAACCAAGGCCAAAUUCCUG
This 496-nucleotide ribosomal RNA is filed under the name uncultured bacterium. RNAcentral's name for it is "partial 16S ribosomal RNA". It matches the Rfam family "Bacterial small subunit ribosomal RNA", at positions 28 to 507 of the family's 1533-position model. The record is from RNAcentral.